Molecule: ribosomal RNA, 253 nt
Filed under: uncultured bacterium
Lineage: Bacteria
Description: partial 16S ribosomal RNA
Rfam family: Bacterial small subunit ribosomal RNA
Source: RNAcentral
UACGUAGGUGGCAAGCGUUGUCCGGAUUUACUGGGCGUAAAGAGCACGCAGGCGGUCGGCCAAGUCGAGUGUGAAAGCCCCCGGCUCAACUGGGGAGGGUCACUUGAUACUGGUCGACUUGAAGGCGGGAGAGGGUAGUGGAAUUCCCGGUGUAGUGGUGAAAUGCGUAGAUAUCGGGAGGAAUACCGAUGGCGAAGGCAGGUCUCUGGGCUGACACUGACGCUCAUGCACGAAAGCGUGGGGAGCAAACAGG